GGACCUGAGAUUUUCUGGGCCACAGAUGAUUGUUAGAUUUUUGUUUGAAACGCCUACUGCAGUAUCAGUUUUGGAAUUAGAAGUCCUUGGAGGAAGUCGCAUAUUGUUCAGAGGAUUGACUGUAAUAAUAUAGCACUUGACACACUGCCUAUUGACUAAAAGAUGAGAAACAACUUCCAGAAGUGUUCUUGAGCUGUAAAUGUGCCUUUGACUGUGGUCAUCGCCAUUACCCCUGUGAAGGACGGGAAUUUUCCACACGAGUCUGAGAAGAUUAAAAUGGUGAAUGAGAG
Molecule: long non-coding RNA, 290 nt
Organism: Neogale vison (American mink)
Lineage: Eukaryota; Metazoa; Chordata; Mammalia; Carnivora; Mustelidae
Exons: 3
Source: RefSeq, a predicted model, not a curated record